UGGUCAAUAUACAUUAUUGC
This 20-nucleotide unclassified non-coding RNA is filed under the name Chlamydomonas reinhardtii. RNAcentral's name for it is "small RNA Cre_3433". The record is from RNAcentral. Lineage: Eukaryota; Viridiplantae; Chlorophyta; Chlorophyceae; Chlamydomonadales; Chlamydomonadaceae.